UNCUGUAGUAGUACAGACGAGUGGACUGGC
This 30-nucleotide non-coding RNA is filed under the name Rattus norvegicus (Norway rat). Lineage: Eukaryota; Metazoa; Chordata; Mammalia; Rodentia; Muridae. The record is from RNAcentral.